AUUGAGUCUGGACCCGCACUCAAAGAAGAGUCCAGUGAUGCUAUUUUCAGCUCGACCAGUUUGCGUUACCUGGACGUGGGAUGGACGUUUUCUAUCUAAAGAAAAUUAUGAGGAAUUUCGUUGUUGAAAUUAUCAUUUGAUUCGAUAUUUAUUUAAAAAAUACUCAACACAGGAAGAAACGAGUUCUCUUUGAUUGAGCAUGGACCUUUGAGGUCGCAAUUCUCCAAGAAUAAUAUGGCUGACGAUGGCUGAUGUAAAGAAGAAGGAAAAAAAAAUUUUAAAAAGGGGUAUACAUAUAAAGAUAUUGGUAAAGAAGACAAGAAGCAAUGGGGUCGUUGUGUUUCACGAUCUUUGUGACUUGGUUCAGCAAAAAGACUGUUAGGCUUGAUAGGACUGCAGACUCCGCAAGUGGAUAUACAUAUAUAUACAUUGUAGGUAUAUAUAGAUAUGUUUUUAUGUACACACGAGUAACGAACCUGUAAAGAAAAACAGUCUGGUCUCAGUAUAAAAAAAAAAAAAAAAAUUAAACAUUUUUUUAAAGUUGUUUACUACCUGGCUCAGUCUUGGAAGGUGGCGAUAAAUAACCGUGCUCGUGCCUUUUGCAUCUUUUUAUAUUUUUUUCAUUGGGAAACCAGGCUAAACUUAGCUUGUGCAAUUCCUUCAAGGUAUCAUCAUUAUAAUCUUCGUUUUCUUCUUCUUCUUCUUCUUCUUCACGUUCUUCUUCACCUUCAUGAUCAUCAUCAUCUUCUUCA
Long non-coding RNA from Aphidius gifuensis, 752 nucleotides. RefSeq lists it as uncharacterized. NCBI's taxonomy places the organism in Eukaryota, Metazoa, Arthropoda, Insecta, Hymenoptera, Braconidae. The transcript is spliced from 3 exons. The record is from RefSeq and is a predicted model, not a curated record.